GUAGGAGUGAGCCUGCUCGCGAUAGCAGUUUGUCAGGUAACAGAUUCAUCGACUGACACACCACAAUCGCGAGCAGGCUCACUCCUAC
This 88-nucleotide unclassified non-coding RNA is filed under the name Pseudomonas koreensis. The record is from RNAcentral. Lineage: Bacteria; Pseudomonadati; Pseudomonadota; Gammaproteobacteria; Pseudomonadales; Pseudomonadaceae.